This 497-nucleotide ribosomal RNA is filed under the name uncultured bacterium. RNAcentral describes it as "partial 16S ribosomal RNA". It matches the Rfam family "Bacterial small subunit ribosomal RNA", at positions 28 to 507 of the family's 1533-position model. The record is from RNAcentral.
GAUGAACGCUGGCGGCGUGCCUAAUACAUGCAAGUCGAGCGAACAGACGAGGAGCUUGCUCCACUGACGUUAGCGGCGGACGGGUGAGUAACACGUGGAUAACCUACCUAUAAGACUGGGAUAACUUCGGGAAACCGGAGCUAAUACCGGAUAAUAUAUUGAACCGCAUGGUUCAAUAGUGAAAGACGGUUUUGCUGUCACUUAUAGAUGGAUCCGCGCCGCAUUAGCUAGUUGGUAAGGUAACGGCUUACCAAGGCAACGAUGCGUAGCCGACCUGAGAGGGUGAUCGGCCACACUGGAACUGGAACACGAUCCAGGCUCCUACGUGAGGCAGCGGUAGGGAAGCGUCGGCAAUGGGCGAAAGCCUGACGGAGCGACGCCGCGUGAGUGAUGAAGGUCUUCGUAUCGUAAAACGCUGUUAUUGUGGAAGAACAAAUGUGUAAGUAACGAUGCACGUCUUGACGGUACCUAGUCAGAAAGCCACGGCUAACUACGUG